GCCCCCAUAGCUCAAUUGGUAGAGCAAUUCCCUUUUAAGGAAGAGGUUCCAGGUUCGAUGCCUGGUGGGGGCACCG
This 76-nucleotide transfer RNA is filed under the name Candidatus Liptonbacteria bacterium RIFCSPLOWO2_01_FULL_53_13. RNAcentral's name for it is "tRNA-Lys". It matches the Rfam family "tRNA". From Rfam's summary of the family: Transfer RNA (tRNA) molecules are approximately 80 nucleotides in length. Their secondary structure includes four short double-helical elements and three loops (D, anti-codon, and T loops). Lineage: Bacteria; Candidatus Liptoniibacteriota. The record is from RNAcentral.